GAAGUAUGGUGAUCAAGUAAAAGCCGCUAACUUUUUUCUUUUAAUGGUUAAAUUCCAUUUAUGCUUCU
RNAcentral lists this transfer RNA (68 nucleotides) under Drosophila heteroneura. Its description in RNAcentral is "tRNA-Ser". The record is from RNAcentral. RNAcentral also lists the same sequence under 1 other name. Lineage: Eukaryota; Metazoa; Arthropoda; Insecta; Diptera; Drosophilidae.